CCUACGGGUGGCAGCAGUGGGGAAUAUUGCACAAUGGGGGAAACCCUGAUGCAGCGACGCCGCGUGAGUGAAGAAGUAUUUCGGUACGUAAAGCUCUAUCAGCAGGGAAGAAAAUGACGGUACCUGACUAAGAAGCCCCGGCUAACUACGUGCCAGCAGCCGCGGUAAUACGUAGGGGGCAAGCGUUAUCCGGAUUUACUGGGUGUAAAGGGAGCGUAGACGGCAGCGCAAGUCUGGAGUGAAAUCCCAUGGCUUAACCAUGGAACUGCUUUGGAGACUGUGCAGCUAGAGUGCAGGAGAGGUAAGCGGAAUUCCUAGGGUAGCGGUGAAAUGCGUAGAUAUUAGGAGGAACACCAGUGGCGAAGGCGGCUUACUGGACUGUAACUGACGUUGAGGCUCGAAAGCGUGGGGAGCAAACAGGAUUAGAUACCCGGGUAGUC
RNAcentral lists this ribosomal RNA (440 nucleotides) under uncultured bacterium. Its description in RNAcentral is "partial 16S ribosomal RNA". It matches the Rfam family "Bacterial small subunit ribosomal RNA", at positions 338 to 795 of the family's 1533-position model. The record is from RNAcentral.